UCCGGUUGAUCCUGGCGGACCUGACUGCUAUCGGUAUGGGAUUAAGCCAUGCGAGUCGAACGUCUCCCGGCUGUGGGAGGCGUGGCACACGGCUCAGUAACACGUAGUCAACCUACCCUGAAGACACGGGCAAUCCCGGGAAACUGGGGCUAAUCCGUGACAGGUUUAGAGUUCUGGAAUGGCUCUAAGCUUAAAGGGUCAGGCGAGCAUGCUCGCCUGGUCGCUUCAGGACGGGACUGCGGCCGAUCAGGUUGUUGGUGGGGUAGUGGCCCACCAAGCCAGUAACCGGUGCGGGCUCUGAGAGGAGGGGCCCGGAGAUGGACACUGAGAUAAGGGUCCAGGCCCUACGGGGCGCAGCAGGCGCGAAACCUUUACACUGCACGAAAGUGCGAUAAGGCUAUACCGAGUGCCAUCCGCUGAGGGUGGCUUUUCCUAGGUCUAAAUAGCCUGGGGAAUAAGGGGAGGGCAAGCCUGGUGUCAGCCGCCGCGGUAAUACCAGCUCCCCGAGUGGUCAGGACGAUUAUUGGGCUUAAAGCAUCCGUAGCCGGCUUUGUAGGUCUCUUGUUAAAUCCAACGGCCCAACCGUUGGAACGCAGGGGAUACCGCGGAGCUAGGGGGCGGGAGAGGCGGACGGUACUCCAUAGGUAGGGGUAAAAUCCUUUGAUCUAUGGAAGACCACCAGUGGCGAAGGCGGUCCGCUAGAACGCGCCCGACGGUGAGGGAUGAAAGCUGGGGGAGCGAACCGGAUUAGAUACCCGGGUAGUCCCAGCUGUAAACGAUGCAGGCUAGGUGAUAGGGAGGCUACGCGCCUCCCUAGUGCCGCAGGGAAACCGAUAAGCCUGCCGCCUGGGGAGUACGAUCGCAAGGUUGAAACUUAAAGGAAUUGGCGGGGGAGCACCACAAGGGGUGAAGCCUGCGGUUCAAUUGGAGUCAACGCCGGGAACCUUACCAAGGGUGACAGCAGAAUGAAGGUCACGCUAAAGACAUUACCAGACAAGCUGAGAGGAGGUGCAUGGCCGUCGCCAGCUCGUGCCGUGAGGCGUCCUGUUAAGUCAGGAAACGAGCGAGACCCCUACCUUCAGUUGCUACCGUUACCCGAAAGGAUGGCGGGGCUAAUUGAAGGGACCGCUACCGCUAAGGUGGAGGAAGGAGGGGGCCACGGCAGGUCAGUAUGCCCCGAAACCCUUGGGCCACACGCGGGCUGCAAUGAUAGGUACAGCGGGUUCCGACCCCGAAAGGGGAAGGCAAUCCUUCAAACCCUAUCUCAGUUAUGAUUGAGGGCUGCAACCCGCCCUCAUGAAUCUGGAAUCCCUAGUAACCGCGCGUCAACACCGCGCGGUGAAUACGUCCCUGCUCCUUGCACACACCGCCCGUCGUUCCAUCCGAGUUGGCUCAGGACGAGGUGGCGUCAAGUUGGCGCCAUCGAAUCUUAGGUCGGUGAGGAGGGAAAAGUCGUAACAAGGUAACCGUA
RNAcentral lists this ribosomal RNA (1471 nucleotides) under uncultured archaeon. RNAcentral describes it as "bacterial SSU rRNA". It matches the Rfam family "Archaeal small subunit ribosomal RNA". The record is from RNAcentral.